GCUGGACCUGGGAGUGAGGCAGGAAGCUGCCUUUCUGGGUCGCAGGCUGUGGCCCUCUGGGAGAGCAGGUGGAGGUGUACCUUCUUUCCCAGCUGCCAUUCUGUUCCAUGGACGAUGCUGGCAAGUCCCAAACCCUCUCCAGCUAUCAAGAUGAACACCUUGCAGAAGAAAGAAGUCUGCCGCCGAGAAAGACGACUGGACGGGGCAGCUGGGAAGGGUUCUUACCACCAAGCCUGAAGGCCCAAGUUUGAUCCCUAAAGCUCACACAGCAAAAGGAGUGGAACGGCUCCUGAAAGCUACCCUCUGACCUCCACCUUAUGUCUCCUUCACAAAGAAACAAAUCAAGAUAAAUAAAUAAAUGUAUGCAGUUUUAAAAAAAAGAAAUGGGCUACAAGUGGAUCGGGAACCCACUUGUCCUGGCUCCCAGCAUUCCUUCUGUGAGAAGCUGGACUAGGUUCAGGAGGUCAUCGGAUGCUAUUCAGGGCCCUGAGUGAGCCCAGGCACAGAUGGAGUUUAAAUGUGGAAGCAGGGGCUGACAGAUGGAGGACCAAGUCUCCAGACAAGCUUGCACCUGUGCUCCAGGGGGAGAGAGCUGCCCCACCAAUUCUGCCUUGGAGUCUGUGAAGAAGUUAGGCAUCUGAAGCAGCCAGCGUCUGCCUCCUUAUGCCCAGCCCAGCUUCUGUUCCCUCCUUCCAGCAGCAGUUGCAAGGGGCCACAAGUGACAACUUUAGCCCAGGAGAAUGACAUGUGUAACUUAAGUCAUUCUGUUACUAAGUGUGACAAGGAUAUAUAUAUAUAUAUGUAUACACACACAUAUAUAAGUGUGUGUGUCUGUGUCUCUCUCUCUCUCUCUCUCUGUGUGUGUGUGUGUGUGUGUGUGUGUGUGUGUGUGUGUGUGUGUGUAUUUUCCCCUCGUUAAAAAUGGCUGAGCC
RNAcentral lists this long non-coding RNA (932 nucleotides) under Mus spicilegus (steppe mouse). RNAcentral describes it as "lncRNA (ENSMSIG00000029091.1)". The record is from RNAcentral. Lineage: Eukaryota; Metazoa; Chordata; Mammalia; Rodentia; Muridae.